RNAcentral lists this ribosomal RNA (253 nucleotides) under uncultured bacterium. RNAcentral's name for it is "partial 16S ribosomal RNA". It matches the Rfam family "Bacterial small subunit ribosomal RNA", at positions 524 to 776 of the family's 1533-position model. The record is from RNAcentral.
UACGUAGGGGGCUAGCGUUGUCCGGAUUUAUUGGGCGUAAAGAGCGUGUAGGCGGCUUGGCAAGUCUGCUGUGAAAACUCGAGGCUCAACCUCGAGCUGUCGGUGGAAACUGCUUGGCUAGAGUCCGGAAGAGGAGAGUGGAAUUCCUGGUGUAGCGGUGAAAUGCGCAGAUAUCAGGAGGAACACCUAUGGCGAAGGCAGCUCGCUGGGACGGUACUGACGCUGAGGCGCGAAAGCGUGGGGAGCAAACAGG